UGACAACUGAGAAACAGCAAUAAUAAAAACUGGAAUCUGCCAUUUGAGUUCUUCACCUAUCCCCUCAUCACUGCUAUAGCCAAACAGAAGUGAGAAGACGGAAGAAAAGAAUUCUUACAGAGACAAGACGUAAGAGGAAAGAAGAGAAGAGACGGAGUUUCACCGUGUUAGCCAAGAUGGUCUCGAUCUCUUGACCUCGUGAUCCACCCGCCUCGGCCUCCCAAAGUGCUGGGAUUACAGGCGUGAGCCACCGCGCCUGGCCUUGAUGAGGACGUCCUAAUUUUGAACAGAACAAACAGCACUUGCAACACCCAACCCAUCAGGAAAUCCUGUUGUCUCUGCCUUUGGAAGAUCCAGAACCUCAUGGAUUGUUACCAUUUCCCAGCUACUCACCAUUGCAGCUGGAAACACCGUCCUCUGUCACUGGAUUCCCACGCGCACCCGCCAGCUCCCCCGCUCCAGAGCCUGGCUCCUUCCGCAGCAGCGAGAGGGUCCCCACGCAAGCCAGCCUCAGGUGCUCACUUCAGCAGCACAUCUGCUAAAACUGGAACAUACAGAGAAGAGGAACCUGGCCCCUGUGUAAACAUGACAUGGAAAUUCAUGGGACCUUCCAUAUUUUUAUGAAUAUACUAAAAGCCACUGAAUUGUAGGCAUU
Molecule: long non-coding RNA, 655 nt
Organism: Gorilla gorilla gorilla (western lowland gorilla)
Lineage: Eukaryota; Metazoa; Chordata; Mammalia; Primates; Hominidae
Exons: 3
Source: RefSeq, a predicted model, not a curated record